This 495-nucleotide ribosomal RNA is filed under the name uncultured bacterium. RNAcentral describes it as "partial 16S ribosomal RNA". It matches the Rfam family "Bacterial small subunit ribosomal RNA", at positions 30 to 507 of the family's 1533-position model. The record is from RNAcentral.
UGACCGCUGGCGGCGUGCCUAAUACAUGCACGUCGAGCGAACAGACGAGGAGCUUGCUCCUCUGACGUUAGCGGCGGACGGGUGAGUAACACGUGGAUAACCUACCUAUAAGACUGGGAUAACUUCGGGAAACCAGAGCUAAUACCGGAUAAUAUAUUGAACCGCAUGGUUCAAUAGUGAAAGACGGUUUUGCUGUCACUUAUAGAUGGAUCCGCGCCGCAUUAGCUAGUUGGUAAGGUAACGGCUUACCAAGGCAACGAUGCGUAGCCGACCUGAGAGGGUGAUCGGCCACACUGGAACUGAGACACGGUCCAGACUCCUACGGGAGGCAGCAGUAGGGAAUCUUCCGCAAUGGGCGAAAGCCUGACGGAGCAACGCCGCGUGAGUGAUGAAGGUCUUCGGAUCGUAAAACUCUGUUAUUAGGGAAGAACAAAUGUGUAAGUAACUAUGCACGUCUUGACGGUACCUAAUCAGAAAGCCACGGCUAACUACGUG